GAAGUUGGAUUCGCUAGUAAUCGCGCAUCAGCCAUGGCGCGGUGAAUACGUUCCCGGGCCUUGUACACACUGCCCGUCAAGCCAUGGGAGCCGGGGGCGCCUGAAGUCCGGGACCGCGAGGACCGGCCUAGGGCGAAACUGGUAACUGGGGCUAAGUCGUAACAAGGUAGC
This 171-nucleotide ribosomal RNA is filed under the name uncultured bacterium. Its description in RNAcentral is "partial 16S ribosomal RNA". It matches the Rfam family "Bacterial small subunit ribosomal RNA", at positions 1322 to 1500 of the family's 1533-position model. The record is from RNAcentral.